GGGGUUUUCUCUUUGUUUAAAUCCCUCCUCCCUCUGUCUCUACAAGGGAGCUGUUUUCUUCUUCCUUCUUUCUUGCUUAUUAAACUCUCCUCUCCUUAAAACCACUCCACGUAUGUCCAAGUCGUUUUAUCUAAUUCGGUGCAAGAUUAAGGACACUAGUGUUCUUCCAGUCAUCAUAGCCAUAUCAAUACUUGGUGUCAGAAGGAAGGACCAAAGGUGAUUCACCUUAAGGAGACUCACCAGGCCUUGGAACUACAGCAUGAGGUACCCACACUGGGGCUCUUUAGGGCCGCCGACCCUGACUUCCACGGGUCACUUCUUCUCCGGCUUGGAGAGUCUGUCUUAGAACUCCCAAUUUUGAUUUGUUUUCUGUUUUAUUUGGGAUUUGGUGAGGAAAGAUCUUUUCCUCCUUGUUUGAAUCUCUUGUUGAAGAGGACUCUUUUCCUCUGUUGACCUUGUCUAUGAAGUUUGAACCUAGAGGUUUGAAUGAGGAAAUUUUUUUCUUCAUUUGGAGAAGGCCAUUGUUUUUCUUGUUGUGCCUGGAACCUCAGCGAGGCAGAAUCAUUCACUCCCCUGGAAAGGGGGCUAAAGCCAGGGAGCCAAGUGGUCUCGCUCAGCAGGUCCCACUUUCCUGGAGCCCAGCGAGCAAACAACAACUGGCUUGAAAUUCUCACUGCCAGCGCAGCAGUCUGAAGUGGACGUGAGACAAUCAAGCUUGGUGGGUGGGAGGGGCAUCUGCCAUUACUGAGGCUUGAGUAGGCGAUUUUUCCCCUGACAGUGCUAAGGAGGCCAGGAAGUUCAAACUUGGCAGAAUUCACCACAGUGCAGCAAAGUAUCUGUGGCCAGUCUGCCUCUCUAGAUUCUUCUCACUGGGCAAGGCAUCUCUGAAAAAAAGGCAGCAGCCCCAGUCAGGGGCUUAUAGAUAAAACUCCCAUCUCCCUGGGUCAGAGAACCUGGGGGAAGGGGCAGCUGUGGGUGCAACUUGAGCAGACUUAAACAUUCCUGCCUGCCGGUUCUGAAGAGAGGAGCAGAUCUCCCAGCACAGUGUUCGAGCUCUGCUAAGGGACAAACUGCCUCCUCAAGUGGGUCCCUGACCCCCAUAUGCCUCCUGACUGGGAGACAGCUCUUAGCAGGGGUUGACAGACACCUCAUAGAGGAGAGCUCUGGCUGGCAUCAGGCCAGUGCCCCUCUGGGACAAAGCUUCCUGAAAAAGGAGCAGGUGGCAGUCUUUGCUCUUCUGCAGCCUACAUGGGUGAUAUCCAAGCAAACAGGGUCUGGAGUGGACCUCAACUACAGCAGGCCUGCAGAAGAGGAGCCUGACUGUUAGAAGAAAAACUAACAAACAGAAAGCAAUAACAUCAACAUCAACAAGAAGGACCCCCACAUGAAAACCCCAUCCAAAGGUCAUCAGCCUCAAAGAUCAAAGGUAGAUAAAUCCAUGAAGAUGAGAAAAAAAACAAUGCAAAAAUGCUGAAAAUUCCAAAAACCAGAAUGCCUCGUCUCCAAAUGAUCACAACUGGUCUCUAGCAAACCUAGAUGACGGAUUGAUAGGUGCAGCAAACCACCAUGGCAUAUGUAUACCUAUGUAACAAACCUGCACAUUCUACACAUUUAUCCCAGAACUUAAAAGUAAAAAUAUAAUAAAUAAGAUUAAAUUAAAUUUAAAAAGAUACUUCCAUAUGCAUGUUUAUAGCAGCACAAUUCACAAUUGCAAAAAUGUGGAACCAACCCAAGUGCCCAUCAAUCAACGAGUGGAUAAAGAACCUGUGGUAUUAUAUGUAUAUGAUGGAAUACCACUCACUCACAGAAGGGAAUGAAUUAACGGCAUUUGCAGUGACCUGGAUGAGAUUGGAGACAAUUAUUCUAAAUGAAGUAGCUCAGGAAUGGAAAACCAAGCAUCAUAUGUUCUCACGCAUUAGUAGGAGCUAAGCUAUGAGGAUGCAAAGGCAUAGGAAUGGCACAAUGGACUUUGGGGACUCAGGGGAAAAGGGUGGGAAGUGGGUAAGGGAUAAAAGACUACAAAUAGGAUGCAGUCUAUACUGCUCGGUGAUGAGUGCACCAAAAUCUCACCAAAUCACCACUAAAGAACUACCCAUGUAACCAAACACCACCUGUUCCCCAAUAACCUAUGGAAAUUAAAAAAAAAAAAAAAAAGUUUAAUUUCAUUUACUGCC
This 2174-nucleotide long non-coding RNA is filed under the name Homo sapiens (human). Its description in RNAcentral is "long independently transcribed non-coding RNA 2598 (LINC02598)". Lineage: Eukaryota; Metazoa; Chordata; Mammalia; Primates; Hominidae. The record is from RNAcentral.